This 497-nucleotide ribosomal RNA is filed under the name uncultured bacterium. RNAcentral's name for it is "partial 16S ribosomal RNA". It matches the Rfam family "Bacterial small subunit ribosomal RNA", at positions 28 to 507 of the family's 1533-position model. The record is from RNAcentral.
GAUGAACGCUGGCGGCGUGCCUAAUACAUGCAAGUCGAGCGAACAGACGAGGAGCUUUCUCCUUUGACGUUAGCGGCGGACGGGUGCUUAACACGUAGUUAACCUACCUCUAAGACUGGGGUAACUUCGGGAAACCGGAGCUAAUACCGGAUAAUAUUUCGAACUGCAUUGUUCGAUAGUUAAAUAUGCCUUUGCUAUCACUUAUAGAUGGACCUGCGCCGUAUUAGCUAGUUGGGAAGGUAACGGCUUAGCAAGGCAACGAUACGUAGCCGACCUGAGAGGGUGAUCGGCCACACUGGAACUGAGACACGGUCCAGACUCCUACGGGAGGCAGCAGUAGGGAAUCUUCCGCAAUGGGCGAAAGCCUGACGGAGCAACGCCGCGUGAGUGAUGAAGGUCUUCGGAUCGUAAAACUCUGUUAUUAGGGAAGAACAAACGUGUAAGUAACUGUGCACGUCUUGACGGUACCUAAUCAGAAAGCCACGGCUAACUACGUG